GGUUAAGCGACUAAGCGUACACGGUGGAUGCCCUGGCAGUCAGAGGCGAUGAAGGACGUGCUAAUCUGCGAUAAGCGUCGGUAAGGUGAUAUGAACCGUUGUAACCGGCGAUUUCCGAAUGGGGAAACCCAGUGUGAUUCGUCACACUAUCAUUAACUGAAUCCAUAGGUUAAUGAGGCGAACCGGGGGAACUGAAACAUCUAAGUACCCCGAGGAAAAGAAAUCAACCGAGAUUCCCCCAGUAGCGGCGAGCGAACGGGGAGCAGCCCAGAGCCUGAAUCAGUGUGUGUGUUAGUGGAAGCGUCUGGAAAGGCGCGCGAUACAGGGUGACAGCCCCGUACACAAAAAUGCACAUAUUGUGAGCUCGAUGAGUAGGGCGGGACACGUGGUAUCCUGUCUG
RNAcentral lists this ribosomal RNA (400 nucleotides) under Shigella sonnei. Its description in RNAcentral is "partial 23S ribosomal RNA". It matches the Rfam family "Bacterial large subunit ribosomal RNA", at positions 1 to 440 of the family's 2925-position model. The record is from RNAcentral. Lineage: Bacteria; Pseudomonadati; Pseudomonadota; Gammaproteobacteria; Enterobacterales; Enterobacteriaceae.